CCUGCUAAAUCAGAGAUGCCAUAUAUAUAGCAAUAACCUAAACCUUCUUCUGAGUUUCUUAUGUAUAUGAAUUAUUCAUUGAUAAAUAAAAAUUAUUUUGACAUUAUUUAUCACAAAAUUGCAUCUUUUUUGUAGAACUCUUAUAUUUUGAUGAAAUCCUUAGAAUUAUAUUUGUAAUCGAUAAAAGAAGAUGUAUCGUAUAGUUCUUAAACAUAUUUGUGACCAAAUGAUACGUUAUUAUA
RNAcentral lists this long non-coding RNA (242 nucleotides) under Elaeis guineensis (African oil palm). RNAcentral describes it as "long non-coding RNA (EGUI_LNC021720)". Lineage: Eukaryota; Viridiplantae; Streptophyta; Magnoliopsida; Arecales; Arecaceae. The record is from RNAcentral.